UUGGACACUGCCGUGUACAAUGGCUCGUCUGGAAUGUCUCAGUGUACCCCGCUUGUCGGCGUAAACAGUGUGAUAUGUAUCUUCACUGGUAAGCUUCUUCGGAGGCGCGCUUUCAGGUGGUUGCUAUGUUGCCAACCGUCCUUGGACAAAAACUCUGACAAUUUGACCUCAAAUCGGGUGGGAUUACCCGCUGAACUUAA
RNAcentral lists this unclassified non-coding RNA (200 nucleotides) under soil metagenome. Its description in RNAcentral is "partial contains internal transcribed spacer 2 and large subunit ribosomal RNA". The record is from RNAcentral.